GUGCCAGCCGCCGCGGUAAUACGAAGGGGGCUAGCGUUGUUCGGAAUUACUGGGCGUAAAGCGCGCGUAGGCGGUUUUGCAAGCCAGAGGUGAAAUGCCUGAGCUCAACUUAGGAAUUGCCUUUGGGACUGCGAGGCUUUGAGGACUGGAGAGGUGAGUGGAAUUCCCAGUGUAGAGGUGAAAUUCGUAGAUAUUGGGAAGAACACCGGUGGCGAAGGCGGCUCACUGGCCAGUUUCUGACGCUGCAGCGCGAAAGCGUGGGGAUCAAACAGGAUUAGAUACCCCCGUAGUCC
This 293-nucleotide ribosomal RNA is filed under the name uncultured bacterium. RNAcentral's name for it is "partial 16S ribosomal RNA". It matches the Rfam family "Bacterial small subunit ribosomal RNA", at positions 505 to 796 of the family's 1533-position model. The record is from RNAcentral.